This is a small nuclear RNA of Choloepus didactylus (southern two-toed sloth), 191 nucleotides long. RefSeq annotates it as U2 spliceosomal RNA. The transcript has a single exon. NCBI's taxonomy places the organism in Eukaryota, Metazoa, Chordata, Mammalia, Pilosa, Megalonychidae. The record is from RefSeq and is a predicted model, not a curated record.
AUCGCUUCUCGGCCUUUUGGCUAAGAUCAAGUGUAGUAUCUAUGCUUAUCAGUUUAAUAUCUGACAUGUUCUCUAUCUAAGGAAAGCAUAUUAAGUUGAUUUUUGGGACAAGGAAAUGGAAAAGGGGCUUGCUCCAUCCACUCCAUGCAUCGUCCUGGUAUUGCAGUAUUUCCAAGAACAGUGUGUGUCCC